UACAGAGGUCCCAAGCGUUGUUCGGAUUCACUGGGCGUAAAGGGUGCGUAGGUGGCAAGGUAAGUUUGAUGUGAAAUCUCCGAGCUUAACUCGGAAACUGCAUUGAAUACUAUCUUGCUUGAGGGUUGGAGGGGGGACUGGAAUUCUCGGUGUAGCAGUGAAAUGCGUAGAUAUCGAGAGGAACACCAGUGGCGAAGGCGAGUCCCUGGACAACUCCUGACACUGAGGCACGAAAGCUAGGGGAGCAAACAGG
Molecule: ribosomal RNA, 253 nt
Filed under: uncultured bacterium
Lineage: Bacteria
Description: partial 16S ribosomal RNA
Rfam family: Bacterial small subunit ribosomal RNA
Source: RNAcentral